UCACGCCCAGGCUGUACCAAGGCAACGCCACCAGCAUCGACCCCCUGCUCGACUCCACCUACGCCAAGACGCUCAUGAACGCCUGCCCGAACACUCCAGCUUCGACGUCCACGGUGGACCUGGACGGCGCCACGCCGUUCAAGUUCGACGGCAACUACUACACCAACCUGCAGAACAAGCGGGGAGUGCUCGCCUCCGACGCCGCGCUCACGCAGAACGCCGCCGCCGCGACGAUUGUCAACGACCUGACCAACCCGAUCAAGUUCUAUGCCGCCUUCUCCAUGUCCAUGAAGAAGAUGGGCCGCGUCGACGUGCUCACCCUCAAGAACGGACAAGGGAAGAUCAGGACCAAGUGCAAUGUGCCGUGAGGGUUCAUCCAGGACCGCCAGCGAUUUUCUUGGAUUUUUUUACUCUCUCCCUCUCCCUCUUAUUUCAUCGGCGCGGAUCAAAUAUAUUGUGCCCGCCAUGAUUAAGCUCCCAAAUCUAUAUUGAUUUGUCAAGUGCUGUGCCUGAGUAUGUAAGAUUAUUAGUCACGACAUGCGUUGCAUUCCUCUUGCAAUCAAUCAAAGAAGGUGAUUCGGCACUUCUCUCUGCUCUCACUUGUCAGCCAUGUCCAAGUGUCGAAAUAUUCAGAGCAAGUGCAUCUUUCUUCAGAUAAUGCUUCGCUGGAUCCAACGGCCAUGCACGCUUCGCUUUUAAACCCCUCUACUUUUUGGUAAAUGCCGCUUUAUUACUUAAAAGUUUAAGCGUUACAUCUGGCCUCGUAACUAAAAUAACAUAACCAAACCAAGUCAACAAUGAAAAAACAAGAAAUACAAGAAAUUAUGAGUCUAGUAUGACUCCUAAAAUGUAGGAGCGACAUCUUUUCUUGAAUCCGGGAACAUAGUAGGAAUUUUGAUCAAAGAGCGUUUGAUGCCACAUGAAU
This 925-nucleotide long non-coding RNA is filed under the name Triticum aestivum (bread wheat). RNAcentral's name for it is "long non-coding RNA (TAES_LNC000093)". The record is from RNAcentral. Lineage: Eukaryota; Viridiplantae; Streptophyta; Magnoliopsida; Poales; Poaceae.